Long non-coding RNA from Photinus pyralis (common eastern firefly), 475 nucleotides. RefSeq lists it as uncharacterized. Lineage: Eukaryota; Metazoa; Arthropoda; Insecta; Coleoptera; Lampyridae. The transcript is spliced from 3 exons. The record is from RefSeq and is a predicted model, not a curated record.
UUAGUAUUGUUUUAAUUGUACCGGAAAGCAUGGAACAUUUCUAUGUAAACUCAGGGUUUUGUAUAAUUCUGAUUAAGCCGAAUUUAAAUAUCACGCUAAAAUAAAUGACGACAUGUAACAUUAUUGUUAAGUAAGGUUUAAGAAGGUGCAUAGUAUGUAAACUUUGGCUGUCGUAUUUCAGUAUCUUUGCCCAAAUGAAAUUCAACUGAGACUGUGUAGGAAGCUAAGGAUUCUGAUGUAGUUGAGAAAAUGAGUUUUAGUAGAUUGGAGGACAUUCCUUUACAUCGUCAGUAUGGAAAAGGGUCUACACUACUUAGCACACAUCUCGAUAAAAUUCGCGAUUUAGACCAAGAGAUGACGACAGAUUUUGUACUAUGACUAUGAUUAGUAAACGCCUGUCACCGCAAUGUUCUUUUUACAUAGGUUAGAACUAGCGUAUAAACGCAUAUCAUACGUCUGUUGAACGGCCCAAUCU